RNAcentral lists this ribosomal RNA (468 nucleotides) under uncultured bacterium. RNAcentral's name for it is "partial 16S ribosomal RNA". It matches the Rfam family "Bacterial small subunit ribosomal RNA", at positions 28 to 507 of the family's 1533-position model. The record is from RNAcentral.
GACGAACGCUGGCGGCGUGCUUAACACAUGCAAGUCGAACGGAAAGGCCCUGCUUUUGUGGGGUGCUCGAGUGGCGAACGGGUGAGUAACACGUGAGUAACCUGCCCUUGACUUUGGGAUAACUUCAGGAAACUGGGGCUAAUACCGGAUAGGAGCUCCUGCUGCAUGGUGGGGGUUGGAAAGUUUCGGCGGUUGGGGAUGGACUCGCGGCUUAUCAGCUUGUUGGUGGGGUAGUGGCUUACCAAGGCUUUGACGGGUAGCCGGCCUUGGAGGGUGACCGGCCACAUUGGGACUGAGAUACGGCCCAGACUCCUACGGGAGGCAGUAGUGGGGAAUAUUGCACAAUGGGCGGAAGCCUGAUGCAGCAACGCCGCGUGCGGGAUGACGGCCUUCGGGUUGUAAACCGCUUUCGCCUGUGACGAAGCGUGAGUGACGGUAAUGGGUAAAGAAGCACCGGCUAACUACGUG